This 504-nucleotide ribosomal RNA is filed under the name uncultured bacterium. RNAcentral describes it as "partial 16S ribosomal RNA". It matches the Rfam family "Bacterial small subunit ribosomal RNA", at positions 30 to 523 of the family's 1533-position model. The record is from RNAcentral.
AUUGAACGCUGGCGGCAUGCCUUACACAUGCAAGUCGAACGGCAGCAUGGAGAGCUUGCUCUCUGAUGGCGAGUGGCGAACGGGUGAGUAAUGCAUCGGAACGUACCGUGUAAUGGGGGAUAACGUAGCGAAAGUUACGCUAAUACCGCAUACGACCUGAGGGUGAAAGCAGGGGAUCGCAAGACCUUGCGUUAUACGAGCGGCCGAUGUCAGAUUAGCUAGUUGGUGAGGUAAAGGCUCACCAAGGCGGCGAUCUGUAGCGGGUUUGAGAGGAUGAUCCGCCACACUGGGACUGAGACACGGCCCAGACUCCUACGGGAGGCAGCAGUGGGGAAUUUUGGAAAAUGGGGGCAACCCUGAGUCAGCCAUGCCGCGUGAGUGAAGAAGGCCUUCGGGUUGUAAAGCUCUUUCGGCCGGGAAGAAAUCGCACAGGCUAAUACUCUGUGUGGAUGACGGUACCGGCAUAAGAAGCACCGGCUAACUACGUGCCAGCCGCCGCCGUAA